GGAGAAGCUCCUCCUCGGGCUCGGAGAGAUUCUUCUUGUAGGUGUUUUUCAGGAUCAUCUAACCUUCUCUCCAGUACCCCUCUGCAGGACUGAAGGAGGCUGUCAAACACAGACGGAUUGAAGUAACAGAGGCGGUCAGAAAAGAGCUAGAAUGGAGUGAGUUGAUGCAGAAGUAGGAAAAUUAACAUUACUAGCAGCCUCACUUUUGAUAAAAAUGUCAUCAAACUGAAGGUCAAAAAUGCACAUUUCUUUGUGGGCAAUGUUUUCAGUCUGGCAGCUUUGAAACCAGGAUUCACACCUCUCCCUCAAACACCAAAGAGACUCUGGAAAUGGAAUUUGCAGCCUAGGGCAGAGGCAGAAGUGGUGUCAGCAGGAGGAUGAUG
This 383-nucleotide long non-coding RNA is filed under the name Gallus gallus (chicken). Lineage: Eukaryota; Metazoa; Chordata; Aves; Galliformes; Phasianidae. The record is from RNAcentral.